Molecule: long non-coding RNA, 7135 nt
Filed under: Lactuca sativa (garden lettuce)
Lineage: Eukaryota; Viridiplantae; Streptophyta; Magnoliopsida; Asterales; Asteraceae
Description: long non-coding RNA (LSAT_LNC004914)
Source: RNAcentral
AGUCUACACACCAACUCGCCGAGUCUCUUCACAAAACUCAAAAUAAAAGAAUAAUUAAUAUACCUGAAAUCCUAGAUGUUACGAUUCUCCCCCACUAGAAUCCGACUUCGCCCUCGAAGUCUCAUUCCUGAAAUAGCUCUGGAUGCUGCUCCCACAUCUCCCGCUCCGGUUCCCAGGUCAACUCGGAUCCCUUCCGAUGCUACCAUUGAACCUGUACCAGAGGCACUUCCUUGUUCCUCAGAACCUUGAUCUUCCNNNNNNNNNNNNNNNNNNNNNNNNNNNNNNNNNNNNNNNNNCGAUCCACAAUCGCAACUGGUCUCUCCGCGUAGUUCAGGCUCGCACCCACCUGAAUAUCCUCUAAUGGCACCACUGCCGAUUCGUCGGCUAUGCACUUCCUCAACUGACACACAUGGAAGGUAUUAUGAAUCCGCUCCAAUUCCGCGGGUAGCUCCAAGCGAUAUGCUACCCUGCCCACUGUCUCGAUCACCCGAAACAGUCCAAUAUACCGGGGUCCUAGCUUGCCCCUCUUCCUAAAUCGGAUCACUCCCUUCCAAGGAGAUACCUUCAGGAGAACAUAAUCACCGACCUGGAAAUCGAGUACGGUUCGACGUCUAUCUGCAUAACUCUUCUGGAGACUCUGAGCGGUUAACAACCUCUACCUGACCUGCUGGAUCUGCUCGGUCGUCUGAAGCACAAUCUCCGUACUACCCGUCACGCGUUGCACUACCUCACCCCAACAAAUAGGGGUACGACACCUCCUCCCAUACAACAGCUCAAAGGGUGGCAUACCGAUGCUCGAAUGAUGGUUGUUGUUGUAGGAAAACUCCGCCAAGGGCAAAUACGCGUCCCAGCUACCGCCGAAGUCUAACACACAUGCUCGAAGCAUGUCCUCGAGCGUCUGAAUCGUCCGCUCACUCUGCCCAUGGGUCUGAGGGUGGUACACGGUACUGAAAUGCAGCCUCGUUCCUAACUCCUCGUGAAACUUCUUCUAAAAUCUGGAAGUAAAUCGCACGUCUCGAUCUGAAACAAUCGACAUCGGAACCCCAUGCCGCGAUACCACCUCCCUCACAUAUAAGUUUGCCAACCUCUCAGCAGAAGAGCUCUCACUAAUAGCAAGAAAAUGAGCGCUCUUCGUCAACCUGUCGACGAUCACCCAAAUUGCAUUGACUCCUCUCGCAGUCCUUGGCAAUUUGGUGAUAAAAUCCAUGGUAAUCUAUUCCCACUUCCACUCAGGAAUCUCCAAUGGUUGCAGCUUACCAUGCGGACGCUGGUGCUCGGCCUUAACUCGGCGACAAGUUAGGCACUUCUCGACGAACCAAGCAACAUCCCUCUUCAUACAAGGCCACCAAUACUCCUUCUUUAGGUUCAAAUACAUCUUGGUAGCCCCGGGAUGGAUCGAGAACUUCAAUCGAUGUGCCUCCUCCAUCAAAAUGGUACGCGUCCUGCCCACAAACGGCACCCAAAUCCGACCCUGAAACGUCAUAAGUCCCCGACUAUCGGUAACGAAUUCCGGUACCUGACCAACCACCCGCUCUCUUUUCUGAUUUUCUGAUCUCACAGCCUCAGCCCGAGCCCCUCGGAUGGUGUCCAAAAUCGGGGAAAUCACCGUCAACCUCAAACAGAUGUUUCGCAAUGGGGCACUCUCUGCCCUACGACUCAGGGCGUCGGCUACCACAUUAGCCUUACCCGGGUGGUACAGGAUCUCACAAUCAUAAUCCUUUACCACAUCCAACCAUCUCCUCUGCCACAUAUUCAGAUUUGGCUGAUCCAUCAAGCACUUCAUGCUCUUGUGGUCCGUGUAUAUCGUACACCGAACCCCAUGCAGAUAGUGACGCCAGAUCUUGAGGGAAAAAACCACAGCCCCCAACUCCAGAUCAUGGGUGGGAUAUCUCGUCUCAUGAGGCUUUAACUGCCUCGACACGUACGCGAUCACAUGCCCUCUCUGCAUCAACACCGCUCCCAACCCUGAUAUCGAUGCAUCACAGUACACCACAAAAUCCUCCAUCCCUUCCGGCAAUGCAAGCACGGGAGCUUCACACAAUCUCUGGCGAAGGGUCUCAAAUGAGGUCUGCUGCUUCGGACCCCAUGAGAAAGUAACACCCUUCUGGGUUAACUUGGUCAGUGGCACAACAAUUUUGGAGAAGUCUCUGAUAAAUCUCCGAAAGUAGCUUGCCAGCCCCAAGAAGCUCCGGAUCUCCGCAGGUGACCUCGGCACUUCCCAACUCAUCACAGCCUCGAUCUUGGCCGGGUCAACCAAUAUCCCAUUCUGGUUAACGAUAUGCCCUAAGAAUUGGAACUCCUGUAACCGGAAAUCGCACUUGGAGAAUUUGGCGAAUAGCCUCUCCGAUCUCAGAACUCAGAGGAGCUCCCUCAAAUGCUCCUCAUGCUGCUCUCUAGUCCUCGAAUACACCAGGAUGUCAUCAAUGAAUACAAUUACCAAUCGAUCCAACAUCGGCCUACAUACCCUGUUCAUGAGGUCCAUGAAAGCCGCGGGUGCAUUGGUGAGCCCGAAUGGCAUCACCACGAACUCGUAAUGCCCGUAACGAGUCCUAAACGCCGUCUUCUGGAUAUCCUCAUCCCGAAUCCUCAUCUGGUGAUAUCCCGACCUCAGGUCUAUCUUAGAGAACCAAGACUUCCCCCGCAACUGAUUGAAUAGAUCAUCGAUCCUCGGUAAUGGAUAACGGUUCUUGACCGUCAACUUGUUCAACUCCCGGUAAUCAAUGCACAUCCGGUGUGAACCAUCCUUUUUCUUGACAAAAAGGAUCGGCGCUCCCUAAGGAGAGCUACUGGGAUGGAUGAACCCUUUCCCCAACAGCUCUUGCAGCUGUGAGGAUAACUCCUGCAUCUCUGGCGGUGCUAGUCGAUAUGGUGCCUUAGCGAUAGGCGCAGCCCCGGGAAUCAAAUCGAUAUGAAACUCCACCUGCCUCUGGGGAGGCACACCCGGCAACUCAUCAGGAAACACGUCCGGAAACUCAUGCACUAUCGGCACCUCAUCCACUGAACUUGGCCUCCCAGCGGCCUCUCGUACAUCCAACACAUAGGCUACGAAUCCCUUGCAGCCCUGCUGCAAACUCCGCCUCGCUCUAGCGGCCGAACAGAACACCGAACCACCGCAAGUCCCCUCGCCAUAAACCGUUAGCGCUCCCUCACUAGGAUCUCGGAUCUUCACCAAUUGAUGCUUGCAAUCUAUGACAGCCCCGAAACGGCUCAACCAAUCCAUGCCUACUAUGACACAAACAUCCCCCAUAGCAAUCGGAAUCAAAUCAAUCGGGAACUCCACCCCGAAGAUCUCUAGCACGCAUCCACGUAUCACCUCGGUAACACAUACCUCACGCUCAUCUGCUAUGGAAACCCGCAGAGGUCGGCUCAACGCCUCUCUCGAAAUACUAAUGUGCUGACUAAAAGUCAUAGAUAUGAAAGACCGACUUGCACCCGAGUCGAACAAAACUAAUGCAGGUACAGAACUCACAAGAAAGUACCUACACAUAAAAUAUAACAAUCACAAUAGCAUAAACUCAAUAUAAAAUAGAUAAAGAUUACAUCCCCGCCACGACGUCAGGUGUUGCGCGGACCUCCUCCGCAGUCAGCUGGAAGGCUCUCCCCCUAGCCUUCGGUGCUUCGGCCUUCACUGGCCGGGUCUCGGUAGCUCGAACCACAGGUGCAGAUCCCUGCGCUGAUCUCUGAAGCUGGGGGCACUCGGCCUUCCGAUGGCGGUCUGGUUGCAAUGGAAGCAAACCGAGAACCCCUUCGGACAGUCCCUCGCAAAAUGUCCUUCCUUCCCGCAUUUGUAGCAUACCCCAGUCUUGCACGGCCCGUCAUGGCUCUUGCCGCACUUCCCACAAGUGCGGCCCCUCGAACUNNNNNNNNNNNNNNNNNNNNNNNNNNNNNNNNNNNNNNNNNNNNNNNNNNNNGCUGCGACUGCGCCGGUCGCCGAUCACCCCUCUGCAACUCAGUGUCCUCUCUUACCUGUGUCUCAAGCUCGAUCUCCCUCUUCCUGGCAUUUGCCUGGAGCUCGGAAAAAAUCUGAUAAGUCAAGUUCGCCACGAACUCACAGAUGUCCCUCCUCAAAAUACUCAAAUAACGGCUCAUGCGAGCCUGCUCAGUGGACACCAACUCCGGGCAAAACAGCGCCCGCUCAUGAAACAUCCUCGUAAUCACUGUCACCGACUCGGUCCGCUGCUUGAGUGUCAGAAACUCCUGAGCUAAACGUUCCCUCUCUACCGGGGGAACAUACUUGUCACGAAACAUCGCAGUAAAUCUCUCCCAGGUCACUGCAGUCAGCUCAGUUGUCGAAUAGCUCGCGGUCACAAACUUCCACUAGUCCUUCGCCCCCAAGCGAAGCUGGUUGAGGGCAAACCGCACCCUCAAGUGCUCCGGACACGAGCACGUAUAGAAACAACCCUCUAUGUCUGAGAUCCACCUCAUGGCGGCGAUCGGAUCCUGUUUACCAUCGAACUGUGGUGGUUUCGUGUUGCUGAACUCUCGGUAUAGCAACGAAUCACCACUUUGGGGUCUCGCAGCAGCAACAGCUGCUAUGGCUGCAGCAAUAGCAGCAUCAGUCAAAGCAGCGUAAUGCUCGUCAAACCUCUCAAUCAGUGUGGUCUUAAUAGACCCAAACAUCUCCGGAAUCUCGGCUCUGAUGGUAGCAGCCACCUCCUCAUGGAUGAUCUGACGGAUCUCCUCAUCACUCACCCCACUGCCCUCGGUAGUAUGGCGUGUCCUGACCAUGAUCAAUCUCUAAAAUACAACAUAAAAACUAUUAGGGACACUCUCAAGUAGACUCACACUCGAUAACUCAAACAUCCUCUCUCUCCUGGUACCCCAAGGAUUCUUACUUGGACUGUGCACCAAUCCGGUGUUUUCAAUAGUAUGGGCCCAAUACUAUUGUCCACAUCGAAUCAAUAUACAAUCCAAGUCCUCCUCCUAGGAUCCCAAGUCGCAAAUACUCUACUCUCGCUAUGCACUGGCUACCCUCAAUUGCCCUCUCUUGAGCUCCUCACUGCUACCUACUCACUCUCAAAGUAUCUCAUAGGAGCAGCGAUCUCCUAAGCUAAGGCUUCACAAAUUAGGCCCACUCUAGUCCUAAUAGGAAUACCUAGCCUCUCUAACAUGCACAACAUAAUAUCUCAUAACUCAUAACAUAUAAUGUAAGGGUAUUUUGGGGAUUCACCGUUCGGGCGCUGGCUGACUGUACACACCAUCCACUCUGCUUGUUUCCAAAACUUCUCUUUUCUUUUUAGAAAAUUUGCAUUUUUGGUUGUAAAAUUGCUCAAAUCCUCAGUUUGAGUUCAAAUACGCCCGAAGGUGCAUCCGAAUCCCUCAAACCAAGGCUCUGAUACAAACUUGUAACAUCGUAGAUUUUCAAAAUAACUUUUAUUUUCAAAAUCACAUAGUGUAUUACAUCACUAAUCAAAAUCCAUAAAAAUACUGUUUUCAGAAACAAAUCCGAAGAUCUCUACACAUAAUAAACUCCAUUGGUGUGUGUGUACGUGUCAAGCCGUCGCCUUCCCACGGUCCUCGCUAGUACCUAAGACAUCAAACACAACAACUGUAAGCAUAAAGCUUAGUGAGUUCCCCAAAAUACCACAUACCACAAAUACGCCUCUCGAGGCUGACUCGACUCUCCGGUGAAGAUGUCUCAACGGAACCCUCCAGUCCCGCAGCUCGUCGAACCCUUCGGUCCAGUCAUAGCUCUUUGGGCCUUCUGGCCCGGUCUGAAUCGUUGGACCCUCCGGUUCGGUCUAUAUAGUCAUACAACAUGCAACAUACAAAUAACACAUAACACGAAAUCUCUAAGACAACACUUAAACUCAUACAUAGCACAUGAGACCCUCUGGUCAACUCGAAAUACCUACUCAAGGUAAUGUAUAGUGAGAAGACUCACCUCGCGUAUCACAGUAACUCGUAAAUCUCGUGACUACUAGUGCUCGAUCACCCGAGCUAUCGUCGUUCUACAGCACAUGCAUAACUCUACUUAAUACCACCUUGACUCUGACUGACUAACACAAUAAAGUCAACUAGUCAAUCCUGUUCAACGGUCAACGGUCAACCCGACUUGCCGAGUCUGGCUUAGACUCGCCGAGUUCCUAUAGAAACCCGAUCCCUCUGAAUUUCUUCCGACUCACCGAGUCACUCACCCGACUCGAUUACUCAACCCCCGGUUCAUACUCGUUGAACAACCCGCACCAACUCGCCGAGUGCAUUCCAUGCACAACCCCAAACGACCUUCUGAGGUCAGAUCUGCUUCACUAAUUCAUAGAUCCAGUCUCCUUAAGCUUAUUGACCAUGUAAAGUCCAAGUCUUGAUGCUCAUCAAGCAUUGAAUAGCUCAUGAAUGGAGUUUUAGCCUCAAAUACGUAGAUCCCAAAAUAAAACCUCCAUGGAUGCACAUAAAGCUCUGGCAAUGAGGUGAUCUGGACCUCUAUGGGUCCAGAUCCAGGACCUUAACUCGCUAAGGGACUAUAAGGACACUAGAUCAAGCCACAAAUGGGUUCAAAAGCCCUAAAUCCACAUGAACAACACAAUAACAGAGAAUGAUUCGAGAUUGUACCUUAGUUGUGAUGUUCUGAACCUCAAAUCAUCAAGAAUCCACCCCUCUCUUGCUUCCUCUUGGCUAGAUCUCCUCUUUCCUUGCUAGACAACAAUUCCAAGAUCAAUAAUGGCUCCUUCCUUCACUUGAAUCACUCAAACGCUCUAGGGUUUCUCUCUGGGGACUAAUGAGCGCAAAUGACGGCCGUAAGGCCCUUUAAAUAGGCCUCAAACCCGAGAAAUUAGGGUUUCAUUAAACAGCGCAGACUCGCCGAGUCCACCAAGGCGACUCGUCGAGUCCGGCAUCAAUCCGGGUGAAAACCCGCAUCUUAACUCGGCGAGUCUAUGCACCAACUCGCCGAGUCUAUUCCCAAAACUCAAAAUAAAAGAAUAAUUAAUAUACCUGAAAUCCCGGAUUUUACAAUUCUCCCCCACUAGAAUCCGACUUCGCCCCCGAAGUCUCAUUCCUGAAAUAGCUCUUGACGCUGCUCCCGCAUCUCCCCCUGCAGUUCCCAGGUCAACUCGGAUCCCUUCCGAUGCUGCCACUGAACCUGUCCCAGAGGCACUUCCUUGUUCCUCAGAACCUUGAUCUUCCGAUCCACAAUCGC